Molecule: long non-coding RNA, 445 nt
Organism: Bradysia coprophila
Lineage: Eukaryota; Metazoa; Arthropoda; Insecta; Diptera; Sciaridae
Source: RefSeq, a predicted model, not a curated record
AUAUGCUAAUUCCCCAGCAAGGUAUUCACAUCGAACUGAAUCGAAGCGAUCAGCACAUUCAAAUUGGAGAUGCUGCGGUGGAGAGUGAUCGUUUCACCGUCGAAAUUUAUUGGCGACAGUGCCAUUGGUUGAGUUAUUUGACGGAAAACCCAUCGGCCGAAGAUUCCUUCCAAAUGCGGUACACUCUCCUGGAUUGUCCGGCUGUGGAACGUAAUUUACCGUAAUGUUCGGUGCGAGGACCGUUACAUGGUCCAUGAGAAAAUCAAAAAAUCAGUUGCGCUCGUCGCUGCAAACAUUGCGGAAGUACUUCGAAAGCGUUUUCUACAUCCCCAUCUGCUGCAAGGAAGAGAUUGUAGGUCGAGCUUUUUUCAAAAUUUCUUCGGCUCUUCCCGACACAAACGAUCUGACCGAUUUCCUUCGAAUUACCGAAUUACCUCAGCACCGU